Molecule: unclassified non-coding RNA, 207 nt
Filed under: uncultured Thelephoraceae
Lineage: Eukaryota; Fungi; Basidiomycota; Agaricomycetes; Thelephorales; Thelephoraceae
Description: sequence contains ITS2
Source: RNAcentral
AAUUCUCAACUGCCUUUUAGCAUUUAUGUUAAGGGUGAAGUUGGAGUUGGAGGAUAACUGCUGGCGCGACUCAGGUUGCUUGUUGGCUCCUCUUAAAUGGAUGAGCUUUUCUGAUGGGAUUAUAGCUCAGUAACGCUGAUGUGAUAAUUAUCUACGUUAGACGUGAAUGGCUCCUACGGAAAAGGGACGUCUUUUGACUUGUAACAA